UACAGAGGGUGCGAGCGUUGUCCGGAAUCACUGGGCGUAAAGGGCGCGUAGGUGGCGCCGCAAGUCCAUGGUGAAAGCUCGAUGCUCAACAUCGAGUCGGCCACGGAGACUGCGGGGCUCGAGCACUGUAGGGGCAGAUGGAAUUCCGGGUGUAGCGGUGGAAUGCGUAGAGAUCCGGAAGAACACCGGUGGCGAAGGCGGUCUGCUGGGCAGUUGCUGACACUGAGGCGCGACAGCGUGGGUAGCGAACAGG
Molecule: ribosomal RNA, 253 nt
Filed under: uncultured bacterium
Lineage: Bacteria
Description: partial 16S ribosomal RNA
Rfam family: Bacterial small subunit ribosomal RNA
Source: RNAcentral